Molecule: long non-coding RNA, 489 nt
Organism: Cucumis sativus (cucumber)
Lineage: Eukaryota; Viridiplantae; Streptophyta; Magnoliopsida; Cucurbitales; Cucurbitaceae
Exons: 2
Source: RefSeq, a predicted model, not a curated record
UACGAUUUUGUUGUUAAAAUUAUUUUAUUUUAUUAUUAUGUUGAUAAAAUAAUUUAUUUUUUGUUGUAGGCUUCUCCUAUCUUCCAUUGUCUCCUAUCCUCCAUUAUCUCAUUCAUCUUCACAAGGGUGACGAAGUCAUGGGAGAUAUAGAUAGCCUUGUUCAGCGGACUCGACGUUUAAAUGUUGUCGACACAGAUCGUAGACGAAUUCGACGGCGACGACGACGACAAGGCGAUGAUGUCGUAGAGGGAGAUGGGGAAGCUUCUUAAGUUGUAUAAUUUAAGUGUUUUUAAAUUUUGCUAAAUAAAAAGUUGAACUUUUUAAAAUUAAUUAUAAAUUAGAAGUUGUUAAUACACGAUUUAGAUGUAGGAGUAUUCUUAAUAAUAUCAAUAUAUAAUAUAUAUUUUUUAAAAGUAGAGAACCAAGUAUUAAAAAAAACGUUCAAAAUUCUUAUAAGAUAUCACUAAUGAUGUGUUUACCUUUGGUUUA